GUGGGGUAACGGCCCACCAAGGCAGCGACGGGUAGCUGGUCUGAGAGGAUGUCCAGCCACACUGGGACUGAGACACGGCCCAGACUCCUACGGGAGGCAGCAGCUAGGAAUCUUGCGCAAUGGACGAAAGUCUGACGCAGCGACGCCGCGUGCGGGAAGAAGGCCCUCGGGUUGUAAACCGCUUUCAGAAGGAACGAAACUGACGGUACUUUCAGAAGAAGGUGCGGCCAACUACGUGCCAGCAGCCGCGGUAAUACGUGGGGUGCAAGCGUUGUCCGGAAUUAUUGGGCGUAAAGAGCUCGUAGGCGGUCUGUCGCGUCGGCUGUGAAAACUCAGGGCUCAACCCUGAGCCUGCAGUCGAUACGGGCAGACUAGAGUCCGGCAGGGGAGACUGGAAUUCCUGGUGUAGCGGUGAAAUGCGCAGAUAUCAGGAGGAACACCGGUGGCGAAGGCGGGUCUCUGGGCCGGAACUGACGCUGAGGAGCGAAAGCGUGGGGAGCGAACAGGAUUAGAUACCCUGGUAGUCCACGCUGUAAACGUUGGGCACUAGGUGUGGGACUCUAUCGACGGGUUCCGUGCCGUAGCUAACGCAUUAAGUG
Molecule: ribosomal RNA, 599 nt
Filed under: uncultured Actinomycetes bacterium
Lineage: Bacteria; Bacillati; Actinomycetota; Actinomycetes
Description: bacterial SSU rRNA
Rfam family: Bacterial small subunit ribosomal RNA
Source: RNAcentral